AGUGAACGCUGGCGGUAGGCCUAACACAUGCAAGUCGAAUGGCAGCACAGUAAGAGCUUGCUCUUACGGGUGGCGAGUGGCGGACGGGUGAGGAAUACAUCGGAAUCUACUUUUUCGUGGGGGAUAACGUAGGUAAACUUACGCUAAUACCGCAUACGACCUACGGGUGAAAGCAGGGGAUCUUCGGACCUUGCGCGAUUGAAUGAGCCGAUGUCGGAUUAGCUAGUUGGCGGGGUAAAGGCCCACCAAGGCGACGAUCCGUAGCUGGUCUGAGAGGAUGAUCAGCCACACUGGAACUGAGACACGGUCCAGACUCCUACGGGAGGCAGCAGUGGGGAAUAUUGGACAAUGGGCGCAAGCAUGAUCCAGCCAUACCGCGUGGGUGAAGAAGGCCUUCGGGUUGUAAAGACCUUUUGUUGGGAAAGAAAAGCAGCAGGUUAAUACCACGCUGUUCUGACGGUACCCAAAGAAUAAGCACCGGCUAACUUCGUG
Molecule: ribosomal RNA, 492 nt
Filed under: uncultured bacterium
Lineage: Bacteria
Description: partial 16S ribosomal RNA
Rfam family: Bacterial small subunit ribosomal RNA
Source: RNAcentral